GAGUUUGAUCGUGGCUCAGAACGAACGCUGGCGGCGUGCCUAAUACAUGCAAGUCGAGCGAGAAAAGGGGGGCAACUCCCUGAGUAAAGCGGCGCACGGGUGAGUAACACGUAGGUAACCUACCCUCGAGCCCGGGAUAACCUACCGAAAGGUGGGCUAACACCGGAUAUGACCACGGGAGUUUCGGCUCCUGCGGUGAAAGAUGGCCUCUGCUUGCACGCUAUCACUCGAAGAGGGGCCUGCGCGCCAUUAGCUAGUUGGCGGGGUAACGGCCCACCAAGGCUCUGAUGGCUAGCUGGUCUGAGAGGAUGGCCAGCCACACUGGGACUGAAACACGGCCCAGACUCCUACGGGAGGCAGCAGUAGGGAGUAUUGCGCAAUGGGCGAAAGCCUGACGCAGCGACGCCGCGUGGGUGAUGAAGGCCUUC
Molecule: ribosomal RNA, 428 nt
Filed under: uncultured delta proteobacterium
Lineage: Bacteria; Deltaproteobacteria
Description: bacterial SSU rRNA
Rfam family: Bacterial small subunit ribosomal RNA
Source: RNAcentral